RNAcentral lists this ribosomal RNA (307 nucleotides) under uncultured bacterium. RNAcentral describes it as "partial 16S ribosomal RNA". It matches the Rfam family "Bacterial small subunit ribosomal RNA", at positions 506 to 807 of the family's 1533-position model. The record is from RNAcentral.
AGACAGCAGUCGCCGCGGUAAUACAGAGGGUGCGAGCGUUAAUCGGAUUUACUGGGCGUAAAGCGUGCGUAGGCGGCUUUUUAAGUCGGAUGUGAAAUCCCUGAGCUUAACUUAGGAAUUGCAUUCGAUACUGGGAAGCUAGAGUAUGGGAGAGGAUGGUAGAAUUCCAGGUGUAGCGGUGAAAUGCGUAGAGAUCUGGAGGAAUACCGAUGGCGAAGGCAGCCAUCUGGCCUAAUACUGACGCUGAGGUACGAAAGCAUGGGGAGCAAACAGGAUUAGAUACCCCGGUAGUCCCUGUCUCUUAUAC